ACCCGCAAGGGGGAAAGUGGCGAACGGGGUAGUAAUGCGUAGGUGAUGUGCCCUGGGGUCGGGGAUAGCUUAGGGAAACUUAAGGUAAUACCCGAUAAUCCCGGUAGGUUUGAAGACCAUCCGGGCAAAGGUGUGAUUCCACCUCAGGAGCGGCUUGCGUGGUAUUGGCUAGUUGGUGAGGUAACGGCUCACCAAGGCUUCGAUGCCUAGGGGAUGUUAGCGCAUGAUCCCCACCACUGGGACUGAGAUACUGCCCAGACACCUACGGGUGGCUGCAGUCGAGAAUCUUCGGCAAUGGGGGAAACCCUGACCGAGCGACGCCGCGUGUGGGAUGAAGGCCCUUGGGUUGUAAACCACUGUCAGAGGGGAUGAAGUGCCAGAGAGCUAUCUCUCUGGUUUGACAUAGCCUCAGAGGAAGCACGGGCUAAGUUCGUGCCAGCAGCCGCGGUAAGACGAACUGUGCAAACGUUAUUCGGAAUCACUGGGCUUGAAGAGUGCGUAGGCGGUUUCGUAAGUAGGGUGUGAAAGCCCCCGGCUCAACCGGGGAAUUGCGCCCUAAACUGCGAGGCUGGAGUGAGGUAGGGGGUGUGUGGAACUUCCAGUGGAGCGGUGAAAUGUGUUGAUAUUGGAAGGAACGCCGGUGGCGAAAGCGACACACUGGACCUUGUCUGACGCUGAGGCACGAAAGCCAGGGGAGCAAACGGGAUUAGAUACCCCGGUAGUCCUGGCCGUAAACUAUGAGUACUAGUGGGGAGGAUCGCAAGGUCUUCCUCACGGAGCGAAAGUUUU
RNAcentral lists this ribosomal RNA (789 nucleotides) under uncultured Planctomycetia bacterium. RNAcentral's name for it is "bacterial SSU rRNA". It matches the Rfam family "Bacterial small subunit ribosomal RNA", at positions 75 to 861 of the family's 1533-position model. The record is from RNAcentral. Lineage: Bacteria; Pseudomonadati; Planctomycetota; Planctomycetia.